UGGCUUGCCUACGGCUACACAUGCAGUCGAGCGGUAGCACAGAGAGCUUGCUCUCGGGUGACGAGCGGCGGACGGGUGAGUAAUGUCUGGGAAACUGCCUGAUGGAGGGGGAUAACUACUGGAAACGGUAGCUAAUACCGCAUAACGUCGCAAGACCAAAGUGGGGGACCUUCGGGCCUCAUGCCAUCAGAUGUGCCCAGAUGGGAUUAGCUAGUAGGUGGGGUAAUGGCUCACCUAGGCGACGAUCCCUAGCUGGUCUGAGAGGAUGACCAGCCACACUGGAACUGAGACACGGUCCAGACUCCUACGGGAGGCAGCAGUGGGGAAUAUUGCACAAUGGGCGCAAGCCUGAUGCAGCCAUGCCGCGUGUAUGAAGAAGGCCUUCGGGUUGUAAANNGUACUUUCANGCGAGNGAGGAAGGNCRUUAAGGUUAAUAACCNUUGGYGAUUNGACGUUACUCGCAGNAAGNAAGCACCGGCUAACUCCGUNGCCAGCAGCCGCGGUAAUACGGAGGGUGCAAGCGUUNAAUCGGAAUUACUGGGCGUAAAGCGCACGCAGGCGGNUUUGUUAAGUCAGAUGUGAAAUCCCCGGGCUCAACCUGGGAACUGCAUUUGAAACUGGCAAGCUUGAGUCUUGUAGAGGGGGGUAGAAUUCCAGGUGUAGCGGUGAAAUGCGUAGAGAUCUGGAGGAAUACCGGUGGCGAAGGCGGCCCCCUGGACAAAGACUGACGCUCAGGUGCGAAAGCGUGGGGAGCAAACAGGAUUAGAUACCCUGGUAGUCCACGCUGUAAACGAUGUCGACUUGGAGGUUGUUCCCUUGAGGAGUGGCUUCCGGAGCUAACGCGUUAAGUCGACCGCCUGGGGAGUACGGCCGCAAGGUUAAAACUCAAAUGAAUUGACGGGGGCCCGCACAAGCGGUGGAGCAUGUGGUUUAAUUCGAUGCAACGCGAAGAACCUUACCUACUCUUGACAUCCAGAGAACUUAGCAGAGAUGCUUUGGUGCCUUCGGGAACUCUGAGACAGGUGCUGCAUGGCUGUCGUCAGCUCGUGUUGUGAANNAUGUUGGGUUAAGUCCCGCAACGAGCGCAACCCUUAUCCUUUGUUGCCAGCGGUCCGGCCGGGAACUCAAAGGAGACUGCCAGUGNAUAAACUGGAGGAAGGUGGGGAUNGACNGUCAAGUCAUCAUGGCCCUUACGAGNUAGGGCUACACACNGUGNCUACAAUGGCAUAUACAAAGAGAAGCGACCUCGCGAGAGCAAGCGGACCUCAUAAAGUAUGUCGUAGUCCGGAUUGGAGUCUGCAACUCGACUCCAUGAAGUCGGAAUCGCUAGUAAUCGUAGAUCAGAAUGCUACGGUGAAUACGUUCCCGGGCCUUGUACACACCGCCCGUCACACCAUGGGAGUGGGUUGCAAAAGAAGUAGGUAGCUUAACCUUCGGGAGGGCGCUUACCACUUUGAUGUAUUUCCA
This 1467-nucleotide ribosomal RNA is filed under the name Raoultella sp. Its description in RNAcentral is "bacterial SSU rRNA". It matches the Rfam family "Bacterial small subunit ribosomal RNA". The record is from RNAcentral. Lineage: Bacteria; Pseudomonadati; Pseudomonadota; Gammaproteobacteria; Enterobacterales; Enterobacteriaceae.